CUUAUUCCGAGGAGACUUUCCUGGGCCUGACUCCCGGACCUGUCCCCAGCGCCUCGCGGCCUCUCGAGCCCCUUCAGUGACCAAGAUGCAGAGAUCAGGACGCCAUUGCACCACCCCAGGUGCCCGCCUCUAGCUGGCUCCGCCUGGGCCCCGAGGGAAGGUGAGGUCGGGGGGGCCGGGCCAGGGCGUGGCAGCCAGGGUGUUUGUCCGCCGGGCUUGCUGCCUCUGGUGGCCCGGCAGCACCGUCCCACCUCUGCCACCCUCCGAUGGGGCCGCUACCUGCGUGCCUGCCAAUCAUGCUGCUCCUGCUGCUGCUGCUGCUGCUGCUGCUUGGACCUGGCCCCAGGUCUGGCGAGGGGUCUGGCGCUGUCGCCCAGGUUGGAAUACAGCGGUGCAAUCUCAACUCACUGCAAACUCCGCCUCCCAGGUUCAAGCAAUUCUCCUGCCUCAGUCUCCUGAGUAGCUGAGAUUACAGAUGCCUGCCACCACACGCAGCUAAUUGGUUGGGUGUGGUGGGGCUUUCCAAUGAUUACUUAUUAAUGAUUACUUAUGAAAAACAACAACAAAAAAGCCAUCUUGAAGCUGCUUUUAAUGAGAGAACAAAUGUGCUCCCAAGCAACAGAGCAGCGAAAUUCUUUAUUACUGGAUUCUAACUUUCCUCUCUAACUGUAACUGUCUCAGCUCCACCUCAUGUGACUUGGAGGGUAUGUUGCAACCUGCGUCUUCACCACCCAUUCAUGAAGAUCUAUAAAACUAAUGUAAACUGCUGGGGCAAUUUCAACAUGAGUCAACUGGAGAUUGUUACUUGGUGAGAAUGCGCAAGUGGCAAAGAUCUAAAUUUGUUCAGCUAAUUUGUAAUUAACCUUCGCUUCUCACAUGUCAGUAUGUGAAGUGUCUGGUUUAAGCAAUUUAUCCAAAAAAGCCAUAGACUCUUUAAAUAACAACAAAACCUGGGCCUGGAAUUUUAUAAAGGCAGAAUGAGUAAGACACGGUUUCGGUGUGCUUUUUUAAAGAAAACAGGGUCUUGCUCUGUUGCCCAGGAUGAAAUGCCAUGCUGCAUUUACAGCUCACUGCAGCCUUGACCUCCCACCUCAGCUUCCAGAGGAGCUGGGAUUACAGGUGUGCACCACCACGCCCAGCUAAUUUAAAAAAUUUUUGUAGAAACAGGGUGUCACUGUGUUGCCCAGGCUGGUCUCCAGCAAUCCUCUGGCCUUGACCCCCUACAGUGUGGGGAUUACACCCAUGAGCGACUUGCCACUUACUAUCACUAUCUGACUGUGACCUGGAACCAGAAAGGAGAUUCCGAGAGUGUGCUCAAUCAAUCACAAACUGACCUUUUUCAUGGGUUUCUUGAACUCCUGUAGCUCUUCAGCACUCAUGUCUUCCCAUACCUGAUAAAUAGGAUCAAUGAAUUUCUUUGACCUGUCAACAAAGAUCACAUUUCAAAGUCAAGUUAAAUACUUCAGCAGAAGUCAAAAUUGGUUUGGAUCUUUUCUCACAAGAUCUAUUACCCAAAACCAAGAAGUGAAAACUACAGCUUAAAUAAUUACAUUUAAAAAAACCUGGCUGGGCGCAGUGGCUCACGCCUGUAAUCCCAGCACUUUGGGAGGCUGAGGUGGGCAGAUCAUGAGGUCAGGAGAUCGAGACCAUCCUGGCUAACACGGUGAAACCCCAUCUCUACUAAAAAUACAAAAAAUUAGCCGGGUGUGGUGGCGGACGCCUGUAGUCCCAGCUACUCAGGAGGCUGAGGCAGAAUGGCCUGAACCUGGGAGGCAGAGCUUGCAGCGAGCCGAUAUCAUGCCACUGCACUCCAGCCUGGGCGACAGAGCGAGACUGUCUC
RNAcentral lists this long non-coding RNA (1840 nucleotides) under Homo sapiens (human). Its description in RNAcentral is "novel transcript". Lineage: Eukaryota; Metazoa; Chordata; Mammalia; Primates; Hominidae. The record is from RNAcentral.